CAUGCAGCUGCUGGGAGCUGGAUGUUGGGCUGGCCAAGCCCACCUCUGGGGGUCUCCGCUAUGGUGCUAUUUUGUGAGGCUUCCCCAAAACCUUUACUUCCAUCCUGGUAACCCACAGAAAAAUCAUAUUUCAUCUUCUUUCUCACUGACAAACCAAAAGCUAGCUAACAAAACCCACAGAAUGUCUCCGCCGUAUCUUUCCAUCUGCUCAAAGACUGCGUAGAGAAGCUGCCACCAGCUGGGUGGCUCUGUGAUCGUGAGCAGUCUGUGACAGGAGGCAUGGCGCUUGCCAUUCAGAGUUGGUGUUCGGCACUGCCUGAUCUCACCUGGCUGCUCCCGGCUUGUCACGACACCAGCAUCUCCCUGGUAGACCUGCCACUGUCACGUGCCGCGGGAUCCCUGAUACAGCAGCCCGUAUGCAGUUCCAGUCCGGUAGGAUGUGGGGCAAAGCCCUUGGGGGGACGGGCUUGAACAGAACAGGCUCGUCCUGGCCUUGCCCUGACCUUUGGUGGGCAAGAGAAGCAGGGAAAGAUUAUAAAGCCAGAAGGGACCAUUGUGAUCACCUUGUUUGACCUCCAUGAUGGCAGAGGCUAUAGGACAUUGCCAAACGGACCCCGUUUAAUCCUUACUGAAUGUAUGAGAAAUGGGGAACCCACCGUAGUCAUGGGUGAAGAGUUCCAGUAGCGGGCUACCCUCACCGUUAUAAAAAAUUGUCCCUUC
Long non-coding RNA from Alligator sinensis (Chinese alligator), 720 nucleotides. RefSeq lists it as uncharacterized. The record is from RefSeq and is a predicted model, not a curated record. The transcript is spliced from 3 exons. Lineage: Eukaryota; Metazoa; Chordata; Crocodylia; Alligatoridae.